UCUCUCUCUCUCUCUCUCUCUCUACGCCUCUAAUCUCAACGCCUCUCUCUCUCUCUCUAUCUUUCUCUCUCUACACCUCUUUGGGGGAGGCGUCGAUCGCCGCGAACCCAAACCGCCGCCGCCGCCGAUUAAUCGCCGAUCCCCCCCGCCCCCGCCGCCGAUUAAUCGCCGUGUUCUCCUCCUCCUCCUCCUCCUCCUCCUCGUCCUCUAGAUCUCCCCCAAGGUAAGAGUGCGAAUUUCGCCUAGUGGGACUUCCAUGUGAGCAUGUGAUGGCAUUCUUUCGGAACUUGGACCGAAUGAACUCCGGGCAUGACCUGAACGAAAAGGCCGAUGAUAAUGGAGCUGAGGGAGCCUCCGGUUCUACAAGAGAUAGAGAUUUCGAUAUGAAUAUCGGUCACAAGGAUGUGGAUAUGAAUGAGGCAGACCCUUACAAUAGUGAGCAGGAACAGCUUGAUGGUAUUAGGCAGCAGAGUGAUACUUUUGGUGAGAAUGCAACUGAGAAGCCUUCUAAAAGAAUCGGUUCAACCGGAACAUGGGGUUCGAGUUUUUGGAAGGAUUGCCAGCCGAUGCCAGAUUCCAAAGAAACACAGAGUGACAGUGACAAAGGUAAUGGUGCCUUUGAGGAUAAUUCUGAUGAAGAUGUGGAUGGGCAUAAAGAUGAGGAAGCUUCAGAAAGAGAGCAGGUUGAUGUAACGGCAGAUGAGAUGCCAUCUGAUGACUAUUAUGAACAGGAAGGCGAAGAGCAAAGCGACUCACUGCACCGAAGUGGGCUGAGCCGCCCAAGCAGUUCUGGUUUGAGACUGCCGCCGAAGCCAGUAUCUGACAGGAAGAAAGCAUCAAAGAGUUCAAAAAGGGUAAAGUAUGAUGAAUACGAUGAUGAUGAGGAUUAUGCUGAAGGGGAUGACGAAGAAGAAGAUGAUCCAGAUGAUGCUGAUUUUGAGCCAGAUUAUAGUGACUCAGGAAAGGGUGCAAAGAAGGCUAAAACAUCGGAUAGUGAUGAUUUUGAUGAAGAUGACGAUGAUGACGAAGAGGAUCUUGAUCUCUCAGAUGAAGAUGAUUUUGAUGUUGUAGAGAAUAGGAGUGGAUCGGUGCAAAGAAAAGUUGGGCGAAAUCCAAAGACCAAGGAAAGAAAACCUUCUAAACUGCGAAAAAGAGCAAGGUCUUUGUCAGAUGAGGAAUAUUCAUCAGGAAAAGACUCAGAACAGCAUAGUGAUGUAGAUUCUUAUCAUAAACCAAAGAGAUUCACUCAGUUACGCAAGAAAAAUGGUGGCCGAACAGAUGUUCUUUCAAAUGUCAAUUCUCAUGGUAAUGAGCUUCGCACAUCUGGUAGGUCUGUAAGAAAGAUUUCAUAUGCUGAAAGUGAAGAAAGUGAGGAUUUCAGCGAAGGAAAAUCUAACAAGUCCCAGAAGGAGGACAUCGAGGAGGAUGAUGGAGACACAAUUGAGAGGGUACUUUGGCACCAGCGAAGGGGUACAGCUGAAGAGGCUAUGAAGAUUAACCAAUCCACUCUACCUAGUGUAUUGAGCAUUAUGUCAGACUCGGACCCUGAAUGGGAUGAAGUUGAAUUUUAUAUUAAAUGGAAAGGUCAAUCCUACCUCCACUGUCAUUGGAAGCCACUCUCCGAGCUCCAACAUCUUAGUGGAUUCAAAAAGGUUUCAAACUACAUGAAAAGAGUUACUGAUGAAAGAAGGUACAAGAAGGCUCUGUCACGUGAGGAGGCUGAAGUUCAUGAUGUUAGCAAGGAAAUGGAGUUAGAUCUUCUUAAGCAGUACAGCCAGGUGGAAAGAAUAUUUGCAGAUAGAAUUAGCAAAAUUGGUGGUGAUGAUGUGGUACCUGAAUAUCUGGUAAAGUGGCAAGGGCUUUCUUAUGCUGAAGCAACCUGGGAAAAGGAUACUGAUAUUGCAUUUGCUCAAGAUGCAAUAGAUGAACACAAAGCUCGUGAGGCUGCAACCACCGUACAAGGAAAGAUGGUUGAUUUCCAAAGGAAGAAAAGCAAAGCUAGUUUGCGUAAGCUUGAUGAACAGCCACAUUGGCUUAAAGGAGGAAAACUUCGUGAUUAUCAGCUCGAAGGUCUGAACUUUCUUGUAAACAGUUGGAGAAAUGAUACGAAUGUAAUCUUGGCUGAUGAAAUGGGUCUUGGUAAAACUGUUCAGUCAGUUUCAAUGCUGGGUUUCCUGCAGAAUGCUCAACAAAUUCAUGGGCCUUUUCUUGUCGUUGUACCGUUGUCGACGUUAUCCAAUUGGGCAAGAGAAUUCAAAAAGUGGCUUCCUGAAAUGAAUGUGGUAGUUUAUGUUGGAAAUCGUGCUAGCAGGGAGGUUUGUCAGCAAUAUGAAUUUUAUACAAACAAGAAAAGUGGCCGACAUAUAAAAUUUGAUACAUUGAUAACUACAUAUGAAGUGAUAUUGAAGGACAAAGCUGUACUAUCCAAGAUUAGGUGGAACUAUCUUAUGGUUGAUGAAGCUCACAGACUUAAGAAUUGUGAAGCAUCACUCUACACAAGCCUUUUGGAAUUCACUACGAAAAACAAGCUUCUUAUCACUGGAACCCCAUUGCAGAACAGUGUUGAGGAGCUAUGGGCCCUUCUUCAUUUCCUUGAUCCGGGUAAAUUUUCUAGCAAGGACGAUUUUGUUGAGAGAUACAAGAAUUUAAGUUCAUUUAAUGAAAUUGAGCUUGCUAAUCUUCACCAGGAAUUGCGGCCGCACAUCCUCCGAAGGGUCAUAAAAGAUGUUGAGAAGUCCUUGCCUCCAAAAAUUGAGCGGAUUCUUAGAGUUGAAAUGUCUCCUCUACAGAAACAGUAUUACAAAUGGAUUUUGGAACGUAAUUUUCACAAUCUGAACAAAGGAGUUCGUGGGAACCAGGUUUCACUCUUAAAUAUUGUUGUCGAGUUGAAGAAGUGCUGCAAUCAUCCUUUCUUGUUUGAAAGUGCAGAUCAUGGUUAUGGUGGAGAUAUUAGCACCACUGAUAGUAAUAAGGUUGAGCGCAUUGUUUUGAGCAGUGGGAAGCUAGUUAUACUUGACAAACUGUUGAUUAGGUUACGGGAGACAAAUCACCGUGUUCUUAUAUUCUCUCAGAUGGUAAGGAUGUUGGACAUCCUUGCAGAGUAUUUAUCACUUAGGGGAUUCCAGUUUCAGAGGCUUGAUGGCAGUACGAGAGCUGACCUUCGUCACCAGGCCAUGGAGCAUUUUAAUGCGCCGGGAAGCGAAGAUUUUUGUUUUCUCCUCUCUACACGUGCUGGCGGGCUAGGCAUCAAUCUUGCUACUGCUGAUACCGUGAUAAUUUUUGACUCGGAUUGGAAUCCUCAAAAUGAUUUGCAGGCAAUGAGUAGGGCGCAUAGGAUUGGACAGCAAGAAGUUGUUAACAUCUACCGAUUUGUCACUAGCAAGAGUGUUGAGGAGGAUAUCUUAGAGCGUGCUAAGAAAAAGAUGGUACUUGAUCACCUCGUUAUUCAGAAGCUAAAUGCUGAGGGCAGGCUUGAGAAGAAAGAAGCGAAGAAGGGUAGUUCUAUGUUUGACAAGAAUGAACUUUCAGCAAUAUUGAGGUUUGGAGCAGAGGAGUUGUUCAAGGAAGAAAAGAAUGAGGAGGAGACUAAGAAGCAACUCGAGAGUAUGGACAUUGAUGAGAUCCUUGAGAGGGCCGAAAAGGUCGAAACCAAGGGCGCUGAAGGGGAGCCAGGAAAUGAGCUGUUGAGUGCUUUCAAGGUUGCCAACUUUUGUAGUGCUGAAGAUGAUUCUACUUUUUGGAGUCGAUUGAUACAACCAGAAGCUGUAGAACAAGCUGAUGAGGAUUUAGCACCUCGCGCUGCUAGAAACAAUAAAAGCUAUGCUGAAAAAAUUCCAUCUGAAAAAGGCGCAAGUCGGAAAAAGAAAGCUGUUGAGUCCCGAGAAAAGGCUCAAAGGCGUUCCAGCAGAACUGCAGAUGCCCUUGCUUCCUUACCAGUAAUUGAAGGGGCUGCUGCUCAAGUAAGGGAAUGGUCUUUUGGGAACUUGUCAAAGAGAGAUGCUUCUCAAUUCGUUCGAGCGGUUAAGAGAUUUGGAAAUGCUAGCCAAAUUGGCUUAAUUGUCGAGGAGGUUGGUAGUGUAAUUCAGUCAGCUCCUUCAGAUGCCCAAAUCGAGCUAUUUGACUUGCUGAUUGAUGGUUGCCGAGAAGCUGUUGGACAAAAUCCAGACGUUAAGGGAACCGUCUUGGAUUUUUUUGGCGUUUCUGUGAAAGCAGCUGAACUAUUAUCUCGUGUUGAGGAGCUUCAACAUUUAGCUAAGCGCAUUGCACGGUACAAAGAUCCAGUUAGCCAGUUCCGUGUGGUAACACAGCAUAAAAGUCCGCAAUGGUCCAAAAGCUGUGGUUGGAAUUCAGUUGAUGAUGCAAGGUUGCUCCUUGGGAUACAUUAUCAUGGAUAUGGAAAUUGGGAAAAGAUAAGGUUGGAUCCUAGGCUUUGUCUCGGGAGGAAAAUUGCUCCGGCGACACUUGGCGAGAGAGAAACCUUUCUUCCUCGUGCGCCAAACUUGGAUAAUCGUGCGAGUGCUCUCCUGCAGAAGGAGUAUGUGAGCGCCAAUGGAAAGAGCUCUAAAGCUAAACGUUCUCGCAAGGCGGUUAAUGGUGAAGAAGAGAGCGGACCAAGAGUAACAAAUAGCCGACAAAAAGAUGUAAGCUUGAGAUCUGGCUUGCCUAAGAAUGAACCUAGGACAAACAAGGACCAGCUUCAGAAACGUCAUAGAGUGGAACCUGACGUCAAAGAGGAGGGCGAAAUAUCGGAUAGCGAUCCGGAGGUUAAGUAUCGGGAAAAGAAGGAAGAGAAGUGGAUGGAAUGGUGUGCUGAGGUAAUGGAGGCAGAGACGGAAACAUUAAAGCGCUUAGAAAGACUGCAAACUACAAGUGUAGACCUUCCAAGGGAAAAGGUUCUUUCUAGGAUAAGAAAGUAUCUCCAGCUUAUAGGGAGAAAGAUUGAUAUUAUUGUUCAGCAACACGGGGCAUCAUACGAGCGGUCCCGUAAGCACAAGCAGUUCCGUAUGACAAUGAGAUUGUGGAAUUAUGUCUCUACCCAUUCCAAUUUGACUGGAGAAAAGUUAUACGAGAUAUAUUCUAAACUCAAGGAGGAGCCAACAGAAACUGGAGUGGGACCUGCCCAUUUCAACAGUUAUGCACCAGGUUCAGCCAGCCGGGAUGGUGAUAUGAGCCAAUUUCCACCUUUUAACAAUGAUUCUGUCAGAAGGUCGAGACAUCAUCCGUACUCUUCUAUACCCAAUGAGCCAUAUCAGAAGAAUCAGAAUAGUGGUAAAUCGGAAGUAUGGAAACGCCGAAGGAGAGCAGAAGCAGAUAAUCUAUUCCAGGCUCAGCCUUCUUAUCAGCUGCCCAAUAUGAGUAAUGGAAGCCGAGCGCCGGAAUUAAGCAAUUCGGCAGGGAUUCUUGGUUCGGCUCCUUUAGAAAUGAGGCGGUUUGGCAAUGAAAGACCGAAUAGAGCACAUCCUGGUCGUUUCCCUCCAGGACAUGGGCAUUUGUCAUAGCACAAGAAGUCUCUCAGAAGUUCUUAAGCUUGUUUUAACAGCUGCUGCUGCUUUUGCAAGAAGUGGAAGCCUGUAGUCUUGCAUGGCUUGAAAAUUUUUUUCUCAAGCAAAUAAAGGUUUGGCGACCCCUCUUCAGAUCUUUAUGAUGAGGGAGGUGCAGCGGGCCCUGUCAUGAAGAUGAUGAGAAUGCAAUAGAUUCACAUAGAUUCUUCUGGCCGAAGUGCUACGAUGCUUCUUGUAGAACACAAAGAUAAAGAGUCUGCAAACAAUUUGCCAGAUGAGUUCGGUUAUCCGAAAUACAAGUGUUUUUAGUGUUGGCGAGGUCUUCAGAAAGUAGCUACACGCCAUCAACAUUGAAUAGAUACAUAACCGAGUUGGAUGGAGAUGGAGCAAUUUAGCCCGCUAUAUGUUGGAACAAAUGGAAAGCAAAACACAGCAAAAUACUUGCUUAGGGGGGAGGAGUCUGGCUAAAACCAGUUUGUUUCUUAAGUUUCGUGCUAUGUACUAGAGGAUGCAGCAGCAAGCAAACUCCCAACAAUCUACCUGCUGUACUGCUGAGGAAGCAUUUAUUGCAAAUAGAAG
Molecule: RNA transcript, 6080 nt
Organism: Ananas comosus (pineapple)
Lineage: Eukaryota; Viridiplantae; Streptophyta; Magnoliopsida; Poales; Bromeliaceae
Gene name: protein CHROMATIN REMODELING 5
Exons: 33
Source: RefSeq, a predicted model, not a curated record